AUCAGGAAGAAAGCUUGCUUUCUUUGCUGGCGACCGGCGCACGGGUGAGUAACACGUAUCCAACCUGCCCUUUACUCGGGGAUAGCCUUUCGAAAGAUCAGUUAAUACCCGAUAGCAUAAUGAUUCCGCAUGGUUUCAUUAUUAAAGGAUUCCGGUAAAGGAUGGGGAUGCGUUCCAUUAGGUUGUUGGUGAGGUAACGGCUCACCAAGCCUUCGAUGGAUAGGGGUUCUGAGAGGAAGGUCCCCCACAUUGGAACUGAGACACGGUCCAAACUCCUACGGGAGGCAGCAGUGAGGAAUAUUGGUCAAUGGGCGCUAGCCUGAACCAGCCAAGUAGCGUGAAGGAUGAAGGCUCUAUGGGUCGUAAACUUCUUUUAUAUAAGAAUAAAGUGCAGUAUGUAUACUGUUUUGUAUGUAUUAUAUGAAUAAGGAUCGGCUAACUCCGUGCCAGCAGCCGCGGUAAUACGGAGGAUCCGAGCGUUAUCCGGAUUUAUUGGGUUUAAAGCUAGCGUAGGUGGACUGGUAAGUCAGUUGUGAAAGUUUGCGGCUCAACCGUAAAAUUGCAGUUGAUACUGUCAGUCUUGAGUACAGUAGAGGUGGGCGGAAUUCGUGGUGUAGCGGUGAAAUGCUUAGAUAUCACGAAGAACUCCGAUUGCGAAGGCAGCUCACUGGACUGCAACUGACACUGAUGCUCGAAAGUGUGGGUAUCAAACAGGAUUAGAUACCCUGGUAGUCCACACAGUAAACGAUGAAUACUCGCUGUUUGCGAUAUACAGUAAGCGGCCAAGCGAAAGCAUUAAGUAUUCCACCUGGGGAGUACGCCGGCAACGGUGAAACUCAAAGGAAUUGACGGGGGCCCGCACAAGCGGAGGAACAUGUGGUUUAAUUCGAUGAUACGCGAGGAACCUUACCCGGGCUUAAAUUGCAGUGGAAUGGGCCGGAAACAUGUCAGUGAGCAAUCACCGCUGUGAAGGUGCUGCAUGGUUGUCGUCAGCUCGUGCCGUGAGGUGUCGGCUUAAGUGCCAUAACGAGCGCAACCCUUAUCUUUAGUUACUAACAGGUUAUGCUGAGGACUCUAGAGAGACUGCCGUCGUAAGAUGUGAGGAAGGUGGGGAUGACGUCAAAUCAGCACGGCCCUUACGUCCGGGGCUACACACGUGUUACAAUGGGGGGUACAGAAGGCAGCUAGCGGGUGACCGUAUGCUAAUCCCAAUACGCUCUCUCAGUUCGGAUCGAAGUCUGCAACCCGACUUCGUGAAGCUGGAUUCGCUAGUAAUCGCGCAUCAGCCACGGCGCGGUGAAUACGUUCCCGGGCCUUGUACACACCGCCCGUCAAGCCAUGGGAGCCGGGGGUACCUGAAGUACGUAACCGCAAGGAUCGUCCUAGGGUAAAACUGGUGACUGGGGCUAAGUCGU
Molecule: ribosomal RNA, 1415 nt
Filed under: uncultured Bacteroides sp.
Lineage: Bacteria; Pseudomonadati; Bacteroidota; Bacteroidia; Bacteroidales; Bacteroidaceae
Description: bacterial SSU rRNA
Rfam family: Bacterial small subunit ribosomal RNA
Source: RNAcentral